Molecule: transfer RNA, 90 nt
Filed under: Alphaproteobacteria bacterium
Lineage: Bacteria; Pseudomonadati; Pseudomonadota; Alphaproteobacteria
Description: tRNA-Ser
Rfam family: tRNA
About the family: Transfer RNA (tRNA) molecules are approximately 80 nucleotides in length. Their secondary structure includes four short double-helical elements and three loops (D, anti-codon, and T loops).
Source: RNAcentral
GGAGAGGUGGCCGAGCGGUCGAUGGCGCACGCUUGGAAAGCGUGUAAAGUGUAACAGCUUUCGGGGGUUCGAAUCCCCCUCUCUCCGCCA